Dermacentor albipictus is the source of this 427-nucleotide non-coding RNA. The record is from RefSeq and is a predicted model, not a curated record. NCBI's taxonomy places the organism in Eukaryota, Metazoa, Arthropoda, Arachnida, Ixodida, Ixodidae.
UUUCCUGCGUUCGUCAGACAAGAAGAACGAUGAUCGACACCUGCACAAAGGAGUGUGGCAAAGGCUGCAGGGAGUACAUCUAUGAGACGAAACAGUCAUUCUGGCUGGCGUAUGACCCUGAGAACGAAGGAGAGUACUACAUACGGCUCAAGUUGCUGAUGACCUCACGCUCCGUGGACGUCAUGCACAUCAUUCCUCUCAUCAAGGUGAUGUUCCUGCAGCCCGCCCAAAUGCCAUUUUUUUCCUAGUUGUGCCUCAGUGCAUACCUAAUUGUAUUGCGCAUUGUUAUGCAGAAGAUACAAAAAGAGUAAGCACGCAAUCACUUAUGUAGGAGGCCGCACCUAAUGCUAGCCGUCAAAUCUGGUACAGUGUUCUUUUGAUGUACUUCACGCAACUCACAUUAUUUACUGUUACCUAAUCAGUUUAC